UCUUGUAGUUGCUAGAGUUUCUGCAAACAUACUUGGCUUGUAAAGUACUAAAAUUGCUGCCCAAGUCGGAUGACCUUAGAUGAGACAGCUGCUUAGAAUAAGGCUCACAUUUUAAACCAGAUUUUUCUCCCCUGAUGAAUUGGGAUAGAGAGGAGGUCCAUUUGCAGUUUAGCACUUGGUCCCAGAAUAAGCCAGAGAUGCCCACUUCUUAGUCUGUGCUGGUGUCAGGGACACUUGCAGUGUUUGCAGAGUGGGAAGCUCUGAUGCUUGGGCAGCAAUUUCCCCACAGGUAAAUUGAGGAUACCUUCUGUUACCUGUCUCACAGGUUUGAUAGGAGAUUAGAGCGAUGAGGUAAUGUCUGCGAAUGGUUUCCUGUGUCAGGGAGAAAGCCUGCACAGCUGAGUGGUGUCACCUUAGGUAAUAGUAGGCCUUGGGAUGUUUCCGUAGUGGGGCUUCUGACAGCAUCUCCCUGCAGGAUAAGUGAGAGAACUAUUUGGUUCAUCCCCAAUGUUUUUCUGUUUUUUGUUUGUUUUGUUUUGUUUUGUUUGAGACAAAGUCUCACUCUGUCACCCGGGCUGGAAUGCAGUGGUGCAAUCUCCACUCACUGCAACCUCCACCUCCAUGGUUUGGUUGAUUGUCAUGCUCCAGCCUCCCGAGUAGCUGGGACUACAGGCAUGCACCACCACGCCAGGCUAAUUUUUGUAUUUUUAGUAGUGAUGGUGUUUCACCAUGUUGGCCAGGAUGGUCUCAAACUCCUGCCUGCCUUGGCCUCCCAAGUGAUCUGCGUGCCUUGGCCUCCCAAGUGAUCUGCCUGCCUUGGCCUCCCAAAGUGCUGGGAUUACAGGCAUGAGCCUCCGUGCCCGGCCGCCAGUGUUUUUCUGCUUUCGUAUUUGCUGUGUUUCGUUUCUUAAGCAGGAGAGUGUAGACAGUUUACAGGGCCAUUUCCAAGAGUGAAUAGGCCUGUUUUUCUUCAGCAACUCUAAAGUAUUAUCAGUAGUAAAACUGUAAACCUAUAUCUGCCCAAUAAAAACUAGUAUUGAUAUUUAUUCCCCAAGAAGUUCCCCAACAUGGACCCGUACUAAGGAAAUUUACAGACAUUUAAGCUUUCUUGACCUUGACCUCAUCCCAGUCUAGAAUAGACUCUGUGGGACUCCAUCUGUAAGAUAGGGAGAGAGGAGAGGAGAGGAAAAGCCUGAGGUCGAUGGGGCCACAGUAGUGUGUGUUGCAGCCCAGUCACCUGGUCCACAAAAAUGAAUGGUUAAACUUGCAGAAGUUUUGUGAGCCAAUUUUAAAUACCUUCAUUAUCAACAAGUCAGAUAAACUAUUAUAUUUAAAAACAAAGAUAGUAAGUCCUCAAAACUCUUCACUUUGUAAUUAUUGUAUUCAUGUUAGUCUUGUCCACCAUCGAGGUUGUUGGCAGCGACUGUGUUGCAUGGUGAGGAUGCUGUGUAAUGGUGUGCUACCAUAACUGACCCCAGGUGUGUCUGCUCACUGCUUGAAAGCCAGAUUCGAGAGACAAGUGUUGGUGGGAGGAAAAGCAGGAUUAAUUGGAAAGCCAGGAAACCGAGAAGAUGGGGAACUAGCCUUCUAAAGUACCAUCUUCAGACAGUACAAAUUUUAGGCUCUUUUUAUGUUAAGGGCAGAAGGAAGGGGAGGGGAUUGAGAUCAAGAGGUAACAGAUAACCACCGACAUCUGGGUGCCAGCAAGUGUUCAAGGAACUUCUUUGUCCUUGGUCAGGUCACAACGCUCCUAUAAAUCUUUAACAAAAACAUAGUUGUUUACAUACUUCUCCUUUAAUCCCAGAGUUAGUUUUUAAAACUACAUGAUUGCUGUUUUUGCAUAUUAAUAGUACUCUAAAAUUAUCCUUGCCUAUGUGCAGAAAUGGGUAAGGGCCACUUAAACCAAAAUGGAGUUAGUUAUGUUAGCUCUUGUGCUGUUUCACUGUUACACUGCUGCUGUGCUGACACUAAGCAGAGUUUCAGCUUCACUAAUAUAAUUUGGGUGAGAGUGAGAAAUGGUUUAACAGUUAAAUCACAUCAGUUGAUUGAGAAAGUAAAUCUGAGAAAAAAAAUGCAUUGGGAUGCGAGUCCAUUUGUCAAGUCCUGGUUGGAUUGCCACCAUAUGUUGGCUACGGAUAAAAGUUGACCAUAAAAAUCAGUGAAAGAAUUCUGUGAGAAUCAAUUGACCUAAUAUAAUUUACAAUAGAGAGUAUUGUAUGUUUUAUUAUUUGUAAAUUGUUACUCAUCUUUUAUAUCAGUAAAUUCUUAAUUUAUGUACGUAAAUACAGGCACACGUUAUUUCCCCACAGAGCAGGUUGUUAAACAUUGGCCAACACAUCACCAACUGGGUGUAUGAAGGCAUUAAAGGACUAAUGAUUUUGGUGACAAUAACAGGCAGAAUGGGAGUAAGGGAAAGAUAGAAUAGGAGGUUGAGGGAGGGUCUGGGGUGAGGUCAUGGCAGCAGGUGUCUGAGAAGCUGUGAAGGCCAGGGCCCUAGAGUAGAAGAGGUUAGGGGAUGAUAGGGCCUCAAGAUUGAAUGUAGCAUGCAAAUUAGAUUUCAGAGCUAACCAAGGGACUUGGGGUGGAGAGGAGUCACAUUUAAGUGCCAGUGCCUUUAAUUUGGGGGAGAAAUGCAGAGCCAGUAGCUGCUAGAUGUCAGUGACUGGGAAGGGCACACAGCAGGUUAGGCUGAUGCUGUAAGCAUGGAUACAGCUUUUAACAUGAGGGUGCAAGAGGAAGAUUCUGGAACUGGAAAAGGAAUGCAGAGGAUGCCAGUUCUGCUUUUUAGACUCAUUUUUGAUGGGAGGAAUUAUACCUGCAUACUGGGGUUACUGUGGAAAUUAAAUAACCUGAGUUAACCCCCUAUGGUAGUGCUUGGCAUAUAGAAAGGGCUCACAAAAUGAGAGCAAUCAAAUGUUCUGAUUUGCUUAGGAAAAGAUGUUGUCCCAGCACAGUUAUGGUUAAGUUCCUCUUGUUACUCAAAGUGUUCAGGUUUGGGUGAUUAAUUAUAUGUUCACCCUAUUAACAAAUGACUGCUUUUUAAUUACUUCCUGGAACCCUCACCUCACAGUGGACAUACCAAGAGCACCCAGUGGGUGAGAGGACUCAGAGGCCCCCUGGAAGAAUCUUUCACAGGCUGGAGGGUUAUUCUUCUAAAGGAAUGUUAGCCUGGUGUCUCAGCAUAAACUUGAAUCUAUGACACAUACUACCAUCUGAAUGUUUGUGUACCUCUACCGCCCCAUUUAAAUGUUGCAAAUGUUGAAAUCCUGACCCUUGUGGUGAUGGGGUUAGGAGGUGGGGCCUUUGGGAGGUAAUUCGGUCAUGAGAGUGGAGCCCUCAUGAAUGGGAUUAGUGCCCUCACAAAAGAAACCCAAAAGAGGUACCUAGCUCUAGGUACCUCUUCCUAGAAAGUGCCAUCUGUGAACCAGGAAAGGGAGAGGCCUUGGUCUUGGAUUUCCCAGCCUCUAAAACAGGGAAAUAAAUUUCUGUGGUUUCUAAGCCACCUGGAUUAUGGUAUUUUAUUAUAGCAGCCUGAAGGUACUCAGACAGCAUGCAAGGUCCUUCCCAACCAACCUUUGCCUUUGCAUCUCCACCAUAUGCACCAGUCACACUCCAUUCCCUUUUAUGCUUCCAGCCUUUUUGCAUGCUGGAAGGUCUGUUUAUCCAGAAUGUCUGUUUAUCUGGAAUGUCUUUCUCCUCCCUUCCUUAUCAAAGUCCAGCUCAAAGCCUUCCCCUAUCAUUAAAGUCCACCCCAACCCCUAGUGUCAGAGUAGUUACACAGGUGAACUGGAAGCAUUUAAGACUCCUUUCCCAAAUAUAGCCUUGUGGCUGUGUUUAGCCCUGGCUAAAUACUAACAAUUCUCCUGAGGCAGCCCUGUAGCCAUCCUAACAAGAAGUUUGGAGCCAGGCCUGCCUGACUUUGGGUCAUCAACAGCCUUCCACUGAGCCUGAAGCAACUGGCCAGUGCAGUUGACCACUGGACACAGCCAAAGACAUUCUUCUUUGGUGAGCCAGCCCACAUCUGCCAACAUUCCACCAAAUUAAAAGCAGACCAAGAACCCCCAAGUAUUUUGACAAGUCUGGAGCUGCUAUUACUUCAACCGAGGCAAGUACAAUGGCAAGAGAGAAAGGUAUGGGCAAUGAUGAAAUGUCUAAAAGGGAUCAUUGGCCUGCCCUCCAGCCAGCCAUCUCCAGGGCUGCAGAAUCCUUUCUUUACAUAUAGAUUUUUCUCUGGGCUCCAGGGACAGAGUCAGCCCUUUCACUUAGCUCCUACUUCCAAAAUUGCCAUUAACAAGACUGAAAUGCCAGUUUAUCUACUUUCCCCCAGAAAGUGUUGCAUGUCUAUAGACACAGCUAGGAUGUGCUCAUCUUGGGACAGUUAUAGUCUCUGAGUUUGUUCGUUUAUUUUUUAACAAGACAACUGGCCACCCUUAAUUAAAUAGAUAUGUGAUUUGUUUUCAAGCCACCUCAUCUGAGAAGGACACCGCAGUGUUAUUUGUAGUUUUUGCCUCGGUUGUGUGAUGGGGGUGUGUCUCCAUCUCUCCCCAGCCUAAUGGGAUUGGAUAAAGUAUGUGGAUUUCAUGUUCUGACUUUUAAAAAAAAUUUAAUUUGAAACACUUGAAAUAUUCAAAUAUUUUUGAAAUAUUUUAGAAUUAAAUAUUAUUUUGAAAGGAAAAUAAUUAAUUCUCCUUUGCAAGACAGAAAAGUUUUUCCUGUUUUAUUUCCCUACACCUACCAAAACAAUGUCUUGGUGAAAAGGAGGACCUCCUGAGGUCAAGCAAUUCUGUUUAGAAAUAAUUGGAAGUCGUGAUAAAACAUACCCUGAAUUGGUUGGGCACAGUGGCUCACG
RNAcentral lists this long non-coding RNA (4849 nucleotides) under Homo sapiens (human). RNAcentral's name for it is "HSALNT0200461". The record is from RNAcentral. Lineage: Eukaryota; Metazoa; Chordata; Mammalia; Primates; Hominidae.